CCUACGGGAGGCAGCAGUGAGGAAUAUUGGUCAAUGGACGCGAGUCUGAACCAGCCAAGUAGCGUGAAGGAUGACUGCCCUAUGGGUUGUAAACUUCUUUUAUAAGGGAAUAAAACGCAGCAUGUAUACUGCUUUGCAUGUACCUUAUGAAUAAGGAUCGGCUAACUCCGUGCCAGCAGCCGCGGUAAUACGGAGGAUCCGAGCGUUAUCCGGAUUUAUUGGGUUUAAAGGGAGCGUAGGCGGGUUGUUAAGUCAGUUGUGAAAGUUUGCGGCUCAACCGUAAAAUUGCAGUUGAUACUGGCAGCCUUGAGUACAGUAGAGGUAGGCGGAAUUCGUGGUGUAGCGGUGAAAUGCUUAGAUAUCACGAAGAACCCCGAUUGCGAAGGCAGCUUACUAAACUGUGACUGACAUUGAUGCUCGAAAGUGUGGGUAUCAAACAGGAUUAGAUACCCGAGUAGUC
RNAcentral lists this ribosomal RNA (460 nucleotides) under uncultured bacterium. RNAcentral's name for it is "partial 16S ribosomal RNA". It matches the Rfam family "Bacterial small subunit ribosomal RNA", at positions 338 to 795 of the family's 1533-position model. The record is from RNAcentral.